GAUGAUUGGGGUGAAGUCGUAACAAGGUAGCCGUAGGAGAACCUGCGGCUGGAUCACCUCCUUU
This 64-nucleotide ribosomal RNA is filed under the name Ligilactobacillus animalis. Its description in RNAcentral is "partial 16S ribosomal RNA". It matches the Rfam family "Bacterial small subunit ribosomal RNA", at positions 1470 to 1533 of the family's 1533-position model. Lineage: Bacteria; Bacillati; Bacillota; Bacilli; Lactobacillales; Lactobacillaceae. The record is from RNAcentral.